CGGGGGGAGCAAGCGUUGUUCGGAUUUACUGGGCGUAAAGGGCGCGUAGGCGGCCACCGCAAGUCGACUGUGAAAUCUCCGGGCUUAACCCGGAAAGGUCAGCCGAUACUGCGGGGCUAGAGUGCAGAAGGGGCAACUGGAAUUCUCGGUGUAGCGGUGAAAUGCGUAGAUAUCGAGAGGAACACCUGCGGCGAAGGCGGGUUGCUGGGCUGGCACUGACGCUGAUGCGCGAAUGCUAGGGGAGCGAACGGGAUUAGAUACCCCGGUAGUCCUAGCCUUAAACGAUGAAUGCUUGGUGUCUGGGGUUUUAUAGUCCCCGGGUGCCGUCGCUAACGCUUUAAGCAUUCCGCCUGGGGAGUACGGUCGCAAGACUG
RNAcentral lists this ribosomal RNA (374 nucleotides) under uncultured organism. RNAcentral describes it as "bacterial SSU rRNA". It matches the Rfam family "Bacterial small subunit ribosomal RNA", at positions 526 to 896 of the family's 1533-position model. The record is from RNAcentral.